RNAcentral lists this ribosomal RNA (468 nucleotides) under uncultured bacterium. RNAcentral's name for it is "partial 16S ribosomal RNA". It matches the Rfam family "Bacterial small subunit ribosomal RNA", at positions 28 to 507 of the family's 1533-position model. The record is from RNAcentral.
GACGAACGCUGGCGGCGUGCUUAACAUAUGCAAGUCGAACGGAAAGGCCCUGCUUUUGUGGGGUGCUCGAGUGGCGAACGGGUGAGUAACACGUGAGUAACCUGCCCUUGACUUUGGGAUAACUUCAGGAAACUGGGGCUAAUACCGGAUAGGAGCUCCUGCUGCAUGGUGGGGGUUGGAAAGUUUCGGCGGUUGGGGAUGGACUCGCGGCUUAUCAGCUUGUUGGUGGGGUAGUGGCUUACCAAGGCUUUGACGGGUAGCCGGCCUGAGAGGGUGACCGGCCACAUUGGGACUGAGAUACGGCCCAGACUCCUACGGGAGGCAGUAGUGGGGAAUAUUGCACAAUGGGCGGAAGCCUGAUGCAGCAACGCCGCGUGCGGGAUGACGGCCUUCGGGUUGUAAACCGCUUUCGCCUGUGACGAAGCGUGAGUGACGGUAAUGGGUAAAGAAGCACCGGCUAACUACGUG